Long non-coding RNA from Peromyscus eremicus (cactus mouse), 269 nucleotides. RefSeq lists it as uncharacterized. The record is from RefSeq and is a predicted model, not a curated record. NCBI's taxonomy places the organism in Eukaryota, Metazoa, Chordata, Mammalia, Rodentia, Cricetidae. The transcript is spliced from 2 exons.
UUCUUACCACAUAGAAUCCUUCCUUCUACAUCCUUCACUACAAGUCACGAGAGCAACAUUUCUGCAAGACAAGCUGAUCACAGUGCUGGCCAAACCUUCUAUCCUGAACACUGUCCUAAAAGACCUAAUGGUCUCAACAGGUGCAGUCAUGGGUCAACAGUGCCCAUCUGGACCAUGGUUCAGAGAGAAAGGAUCUACUGACCACUCCUCCCCUGGCUGAACUCAAUAUUCCCAUGAUGCUGAAUAAAGAAGAGGAGAUGUGUGCUGUA